GAUGAAGAACGCAGCAAAAUGCGAUAAGUAAUGUGAAUUGCAGAAUUCAGUGAAUCAUCGAAUCUUUGAACGCACCUUGCACCCUUUGGCAUUCCGAAGGGUAUGCUCGUUUGAGUGUCAUUGUACUCUCACUCUCCCGAUCUUUGGAUCGGGAGUGGUGGACUUGGGUGUUGCUGCUUUACCGUGGCUCACCUCAAAUGGAUUCGUGCAACUCCUGGUUGGACAUAGUACGGCGUGAUAAGUGUCUUCGCCGGCACCUCACUAGAGGGUGGCUGACCGGGAGCUAUGUGCUUCAAACCGUCUUCGGACAACAACUGACAACUUGACCUCAAAUCGAGUAGGACCACCCGCUGAACUUAAGCAUAUCAAUAAGCGGAGGA
Molecule: unclassified non-coding RNA, 380 nt
Filed under: soil metagenome
Description: partial contains 5.8S ribosomal RNA, internal transcribed spacer 2, and large subunit ribosomal RNA
Rfam family: 5.8S ribosomal RNA (bases 1-120)
Source: RNAcentral